GUGGGGAAUCUUAGACAAUGGGCGCAAGCCUGAUCUAGCCAUGCCGCGUGAGCGAUGAAGGCCUUAGGGUUGUAAAGCUCUUUCGUGGGGGAAGAUAAUGACUGUACCCCAAGAAGAAGCCCCGGCUAACUCCGUGCCAGCAGCCGCGGUAAUACGGAGGGGGCUAGCGUUGUUCGGAAUUACUGGGCGUAAAGCGCACGUAGGCGGACCAGAAAGUCAGAGGUGAAAGCCCGGGGCUCAACCCCGGAACUGCCUUUGAAACUCCUGGUCUUGAGGUCGAGAGAGGUGGGUGGAAUUCCGAGUGUAGAGGUGAAAUUCGUAGAUAUUCGGAGGAACACCAGUGGCGAAGGCGGCCCACUGGCUCGAUACUGACGCUGAGGUGCGAAAGCGUGGGGAGCAAACAGGAUUAGAAACCCGGGUAGUCC
RNAcentral lists this ribosomal RNA (425 nucleotides) under uncultured bacterium. RNAcentral's name for it is "partial 16S ribosomal RNA". It matches the Rfam family "Bacterial small subunit ribosomal RNA", at positions 354 to 796 of the family's 1533-position model. The record is from RNAcentral.